Molecule: long non-coding RNA, 4396 nt
Filed under: Salmo salar (Atlantic salmon)
Lineage: Eukaryota; Metazoa; Chordata; Actinopteri; Salmoniformes; Salmonidae
Description: lncRNA (ENSSSAG00000084253.1)
Source: RNAcentral
GUGAGGACGCUUACUUCUUAGUGAGCACUUUGUAAUAAUUAAGUGAAGAAUAAGACAAGUAAGCCUGAAGGAGAGAGAGAGAGAGAGCGAGAGAGAGAGAGAGAGAGAGAGAGAGAGAGAGAGAGAGAGAGAGAGAGAGAGAGAGAGAGCUUCUUUAACUGAACCUGGACCAGUGUCACUUCUACUUGAGAGAAACAGGGGCAGCAGUGAAGCUACCUACGCAUAGCUAAGUAUGUGUAAUAUAUUGCAAAUACUUGUUAACUGCCUUCCUUUCUCCUGCUGCUGGGUAAUUGAACAUUCACUGAGAUUGACAUACAGUGCUCUGACUCAUUGUUGUCUACAUGUCUAUGAUCAUUUUUUACAUUUCUAACAAUUAGAAGCAUCAUUUGAAACUAGCUAAGGAUAGUAUUGUUUUUUCUUUGUAGACUCUUCAUUGCAGUAUGGAAUUUGAAACUGUAGCUAGGUUAUUUUUGACAAAAAGUUAAAUUAUAUUUCAUUUAUUUUAUGUGUAGUGUUUUAGGCUAAUGAUAACAGAAAUGGAGUAUAGCAUAAGGACAUGUUUUACAACUAUUGCAAUGGCUUCCUGUCUUAAUUUUUAUACCAUUGGACUUAGUUAAUGAAUCCAUCUUCGAGUUUUACUUUUGGCCUGCAAGCGAACUUGACACAGUUCCUACCAUGUUUUGCCAACACUUGAAUCAUUUAAAAGAAUCCCAAAGAGAGCAUACCAAUUUUCACAUGCAAUGUGACACAGAGAUAUCCGCUUUGUCUGUAGCCAAGAAUUUGCUUAAAAGUGGAAAAGUCAAAUACAGUUAGUUAAUUUUUGUUUGCCGGUGUGACAGAUGCAGUCCACACAGUGUGAGACACCAAUAUUGGAAAGCAUGACAAGGGAAAAUCACAUAGGUGACAGUAAUCGGAGGAAUUCAUGUAUGCAAAUGAGGUGCUUGGCAUGCAUGGCUGGCGAUGCCACUAAUUGAAUAAUUGGCCUCAGAGCACCAGGUGCACCGACCACGCUUCUAGUGCGUGUACGCCUACGCCUGUGUGUGUGUAUGUGCCAGCGGACAUUUUAGGUCUACCCUCCUCACACGCUCACCACUGCCAAACGCCUUAAGAUGGUGGCACCUUGAGGGAGAGACACUCCUUCAGUGAGCCAACCAGGUCCCUCCUCACUCUCCUCCUCCUCCUCUAUCAUGGCUCUUCACGACAACACUGGGCAAGCACCCCUCCCCCUAACCACUGUCCCCCUUAUAAAUAUGUAAUUUCCCCCUCUCUAAUAACGAUAUUAGGGGCUGGCUCUGGUGCCUUGGUGUAUAUGCAUGAGUCCUCUCUCAUCAAAUUUGCAUAAAAGGUCCAGAUGCUAAUGUUACCGUGGCGACUACUUGCAGUGCUUACUAUUCUAUAUUCAGCGUAGCCAUAUCCCUAGACAAGCCAAGAUUCCACAUCGCCUGAACAGUCAGCUCUUUAAUUGUAGCAGUGCUGCCUCUAUUGAUGUGUAUUUCAAGUCACCUACAUCCCCUCCGUAAUAACGGAAGGUAAAGUAGUCGGCAUCAUUCAUUAGGUUAAAGAUGGAUUCUAUAGUUAUUUGAGCCAUACGAAUUGGUUGGUGGGUUCUAAAACCAUAGGCCUUGCUCAAAUUAUUUCUAAACAUUUUCACAUGAAAGAGCCCUUUAACUACUAAAUUAGAUACUGUAAAAUGACUGCAUGUGUAGAGUAUGUGUGAGCAAUUAUAUACCGCUGCCUUAAUAGACCAGAGCAAAAUGACAUAUAUGGCAACAUUGAAGGAAAAGUACAGUGUCCACACACACACACACACACACACACACACACACACACACACACACACACACACACACACACACACACACACACACACGGUACGUCAGAACAGUAAAGCCACAAGGCGUCUCUGUUGGUUAUUUGUAAUUAAUUGAGAAUGAAUAAUGCAGUAACAUGAAAUACAUUAUUAACACACAUUCAUCUUACGAGAGGAUUCAAAGCAUAUUUCAAAUGCAAUUAUACUAAUUUAUUUAUAGCAGGGGUAUUUGCAUAAUAAAAAGCCAUCGGAGCACAGACAUAUUGAAAAGGACAGACAGGCAGGCAGAUGGGUUUAGGCGUAUACUGUAAAGCCGCCAUUCAUACGUAUGCAGCCAGAGUAGCUAUUGUACACGCCAAUGCUCACAACAUCAGUCAUAUUAAUCUUGUUGCCGCAAUAAUUUCUGCUGUGUGUUGUUAGCAUCAUUACCAUUAGCAAUUAUGAUGAAGUAAGUCUAAUGUAGCUAGCUAGCAUAAGCAUAUUUGUUGAAUUCUGUUGAUCACUAUAUGGAAUGGGCAGGGAGGUAUGUUUGAAAAAUAAAUGUUUAUGAAUAUAAAUUAUUAAAACGCAAGUUAACAAUUGUUUACUAUUUUGGCCUUUAAUGGAUUUUUUUAUGUUUUAUUAUUAUGUAUUUUAUACAUUUACAUAUUAUCUAAGUCCAUUAUCUGAGUGUAAGUAACACUGUGUGCUUAUGAGACAAACUAAAAUGUCUUCUGCAUCCAUUUUUGUAUGUUUGAUUUAUGAUGUUUUAAAGACUGUACAUGUUGCUUUGUUCCUCAUCUAUUUUAGCGUCCUUUAAUUCAGAGUUAAACAUUUUGCUCAAACAAUAAUAUCAUUAUCAGAUGUUCCAUUUACGCUUCCCGUUAACAAACAAACCCAUAUCAUAAAAAUACGUGUGUCCAUUCUUAGAUAAAAAGGUGCUAUCUAGAACGUAAACGUGUAUUUGGCUGUCCCCAUAGGAGAACACUUUAAAAAAAAACUUUUUGGUUCCAGGUAGAACCCGUUUUGUGUUCCACAUAAAACCCUUUCCACAGAGGGUUCUACAUGGAACUCAAAAGAGUUCUACCUGGAACCAAAACGGUUCUACCUUUUUUUUAAAGGGUUAUCCUAUAGGAACAGCCAAAGGAACCUUUAAGAACCCUUUUUUCUAAAAAUGUUAGUCGUGUGGGGUAGGACUAACUGUCAUUAAUGUCCUAAUAAGCUGACUGUUAUCCAGUCAUGUUUUGAAGGUAAUUGCAUGGACAGUGACACAUGGAGGUAGGUAGCUCUAAUGUAGUGGUAUGACUAACACCAUGUCCAUAACCACCUCUAUGCAGGCUGCUGGAGGGAGGGACACCGUGGCAGAGCACAGCAUGCCUGCUGCUCCUCACAACCACGCUCAAGUGACCAUGCGUGAUGUCAUUAAAAAGGGCCCAACCAUGACAUUCCACAAUGGAUUAUUGGCCCAUGUUAUGGCUGGUUGAUCGUUUAGGAGGAGGCAGGAGGCAGGAGGCAGGAGGCGGACCACAGUGGAACCAGUGGUAAGAAGAGACAAUGGUACUGUGUGUGUGGCUUACUGCGUGCGUGUGUGUGCACUGAAAUGCACUGCAUUGCCACAUGUUUGAUGCCGAUUGAAACAGCAUCUACAGCGGUAGGCUGUCGUCACUGUGUGAGAGCAGCAGCCAUAUCUACUGUGUGUGGUCACCCUGUGCAUUGCUAAGAAUAUCCAUCACACCACUGUUAAUGGAGGAAAAAGUCACCUGACAGGAAAAACAUUGCAACACUUCAAUGUGUGUGAUGAAUCUAAAUUGAGCCCAGGAGACAAGGAGGGUGUCAUUCUAGUCAGUUACACACAAACACACACACACACUCUCUGAAACCAGGAACCUGUCCUGCUCCAGCGGCGCUGAUGCCGGCGUGCGCACCGUGAGCUCACCUCCCGUUGCCACGGCGACACCAACCAGAGGGAAAAGCCUGGUGUGUGUGACAGAGGCCUGAGAGGGAGGAAGGAGGAGGGACUGAGGAAUUCACAUAGCGCUUGGCUUGUUUCAGCACUAGUACCUUAUUCGGUUACCAGGCCUUAUCACGGAAAUGCUAAACCGACCCUUUCAAUUAUCAAGGCAAUGUCUUUAGCCCGGCCACCUAUUUGUAAUGGCUGGCCUGGGAUUUCAAAUGAGAUGUGUCAGAAAUAGUUGGCCGACAAGGUGGACAGUAGACAUUUAUACACACAAUUGGGUAUUAUCAUGCAUUAUGUACAAUUAACAUGUGUAUACACAAACAUAUAGGGAAUCAUGCAGUCAUGCACACACUCACAAAUAUGACCACUAAAUGAAACACACGCUCAUUUUUUUUCCAUAAACAAAAAAAUGCGACUAACAGCUGCUUUGGUGCCUGCAUUCUAUUAGUGAUGAAGAGCUAACCCAGUCUGGGGGUCGUCUGCUCAUCAAUGGUGGUGCCCCACAGCCGUGAAUGCACUGAAUUCAUUAGUCAUCGCGCACAGAUGGUGUCUGGCUGCCUGUCUCAAGUUCAAGUUCAUGUCCAGGAGACCCAGAGAGAGAGACAUGCUGAAGCCAGACAGACCAGAUGCUACUGAGACACAGAGAGAGA